Molecule: non-coding RNA, 46 nt
Organism: Pygoscelis adeliae (Adelie penguin)
Lineage: Eukaryota; Metazoa; Chordata; Aves; Sphenisciformes; Spheniscidae
Source: Rfam
CCAAAGGCUCUUCUAAGAGCCUCCCACUUGAACUGAAAAAGAGCUG